This 935-nucleotide ribosomal RNA is filed under the name uncultured bacterium. Its description in RNAcentral is "bacterial SSU rRNA". It matches the Rfam family "Bacterial small subunit ribosomal RNA", at positions 56 to 986 of the family's 1533-position model. The record is from RNAcentral.
UGCAGUCGACGGUAACAGGGAGCUUGCUCCGCUGACGAGUGGCGAACGGGUGAGUAAUAUAUCGGAACGUGCCUGAUAGUGGGGGACAACUAGUCGAAAGAUUAGCUAAUACCGCAUACGCCCUACGGGGGAAAGGGGGGGGACUCGCAAGAGCCUCUCGCUAUCAGAGCGGCCGAUAUCUGAUUAGCUAGUUGGUGAGGUAAAGGCUCACCAAGGCUUCGAUCAGUAGCUGGUCUGAGAGGACGACCAGCCACACUGGGACUGAGACGCGGCCCAGACUCCUACGGGAGGCAGCAGUGGGGAAUUUUGGACAAUGGGCGCAAGCCUGAUCCAGCAAUGCCGCGUGAGUGAAGAAGGCCUUCGGGUUGUAAAGCUCUUUUGUCAGGGAAGAAACGGUUCUGGAUAAUACCUGGGGCUAAUGACGGUACCUGAAGAAUAAGCACCGGCUAACUACGUGCCAGCAGCCGCGGUAAUACGUAGGGUGCAAGCGUUAAUCGGAAUUACUGGGCGUAAAGCGUGCGCAGGCGGUUGUGUAAGACAGGUGUGAAAUCCCCGGGCUUAACCUGGGAAUGGCAUUUGUGACUGCACGGCUAGAGUGUGUCAGAGGGGGGUAGAAUUCCACGUGUAGCAGUGAAAUGCGUAGAGAUGUGGAGGAAUACCGAUGGCGAAGGCAGCCCCCUGGGAUAACACUGACGCUCAUGCACGAAAGCGUGGGGAGCAAACAGGAUUAGAUACCCUGGUAGUCCACGCCCUAAACGAUGUCUACUAGUUGUCGGGUCUUAAUUGACUUGGUAACGCAGCUAACGCGUGAAGUAGACCGCCUGGGGAGUACGGUCGCAAGAUUAAAACUCAAAGGAAUUGACGGGGACCCGCACAAGCGGNGGAUGAUGUGGAUUNNUUCGAUGCAACGCGAAAAACCUUACCUACCCUUGACA